This 701-nucleotide ribosomal RNA is filed under the name uncultured Phaselicystis sp. Its description in RNAcentral is "bacterial SSU rRNA". It matches the Rfam family "Bacterial small subunit ribosomal RNA", at positions 1 to 687 of the family's 1533-position model. Lineage: Bacteria; Pseudomonadati; Myxococcota; Polyangiales; Phaselicystidaceae. The record is from RNAcentral.
GAUUAGAGUUUGAUCCUGGCUCAGAACGAACGUUAGCGGCGCGCCUAAGACAUGCAAGUCGAGCGAGAAAGGGCUUCGGCCCCGGUAAAGCGGCGCACGGGUGAGUAACACGUAGGUAAUCAACCCUCGAGUGGUGGACAACUCUCCGAAAGGAGAGCUAAUACAGCAUGACGUGGCGGUCUUCCGAGAUCGUCUCCAAAGCGGGCCUCUUCACGAAAGCUCGCGCUCGAGGAUGAGCCUGCGGCCCAUCAGCUAGUUGGCGGGGUAAUGGCCCACCAAGGCAUAGACGGGUAGCUGGUCUGAGAGGAUGAACAGCCACACUGGAACUGAGACACGGUCCAGACUCCUACGGGAGGCAGCAGUCGGGAAUCUUCCGCAAUGGGCGAAAGCCUGACGGAGCGACGCCGCGUGAGUGAUGAAGGCCUUCGGGUUGUAAAGCUCUGUGGGGAGGGAAGAAUAAGUUCAAGCGAAUACCUUGAAUGAUGACGGUACCUCCUUAGCAAGCACCGGCUAACUCUGUGCCAGCAGCCGCGGUAAGACAGAGGGUGCAAACGUUGUUCGGAUUUACUGGGCGUAAAGCGCGUGUAGGCGGCUUUGCAAGUCGGAUGUGAAAGCCCACGGCUCAACCGUGGAAGUGCAUCCGAAACUGCAUGGCUGGAGUCCCGGAGAGGAAGGUGGAAUGCUUGGUGUAGAGGUGAAAU